This 66-nucleotide transfer RNA is filed under the name bacterium. Its description in RNAcentral is "tRNA-OTHER". The record is from RNAcentral.
GCCAUUUAACUGGGUUUUACACCGCCUCCUACGCGGUAGGUCGCAGGUCGAAUCCUGCCGCGGGCG